Molecule: small nucleolar RNA, 107 nt
Organism: Rhododendron vialii
Lineage: Eukaryota; Viridiplantae; Streptophyta; Magnoliopsida; Ericales; Ericaceae
Product: small nucleolar RNA snoR100
Exons: 1
Source: RefSeq, a predicted model, not a curated record
CAAUGAAGGAAGCAUGGUAAUGUGCACAUAAAUUGAAUUGAGUCUCUAGGUCUGCCCUCUUUGAUGUCAUUUGGCUUUGAUUUGGGGCAUAGUUCCACAGCAAAACA